RNAcentral lists this ribosomal RNA (490 nucleotides) under uncultured bacterium. Its description in RNAcentral is "partial 16S ribosomal RNA". It matches the Rfam family "Bacterial small subunit ribosomal RNA", at positions 30 to 507 of the family's 1533-position model. The record is from RNAcentral.
AUUGAACGCUGGCGGCAGGCCUAACACAUGCCAGUCGAACGGUAACAGGAAGCAGCUUGCUGCUUCGCUGACGAGUGGCGGACGGGUGAGUAAUGUCUGGGAAACUGCCUGAUGGAGGGGGAUAACUACUGGAAACGGUAGCUAAUACCGCAUAACGUCGCAAGACCAAAGAGGGGGACCUUAGGGCCUCUUGCCAUCGGAUGUGCCCAGAUGGGAUUAGCUAGUAGGUGGGGUAACGGCUCACCUAGGCGACGAUCCCUAGCUGGUCUGAGAGGAUGACCAGCCACACUGGAACUGAGACACGGUCCAGACUCCUACGGGAGGCAGCAGUGGGGAAUAUUGCACAAUGGGCGCAAGCCUGAUGCAGCCAUGCCGCGUGUAUGAAGAAGGCCUUCGGGUUGUAAAGUACUUUCAGCGGGGAGGAAGGGAGUAAAGUUAAUACCUUUGUUCAUUGACGUUACCCGCAGAAGAAGCACCGGCUAACUCCGUG